This 229-nucleotide ribosomal RNA is filed under the name uncultured bacterium. RNAcentral describes it as "partial 16S ribosomal RNA". It matches the Rfam family "Bacterial small subunit ribosomal RNA", at positions 568 to 796 of the family's 1533-position model. The record is from RNAcentral.
UGCGCAGGCGGGAUAUUAAGUCAGUGGUGAAAGCCCCGAGCUCAACUUGGGAACUGCCAUUGAAACUGAUGUUCUUGAAUAUAGUUGAGGUAGGCGGAAUACAGCAUGUAGCGGUGAAAUGCAUAGAUAUGCUGUAGAACACCAAUUGCGAAGGCAGCUUACUAAACUAUUAUUGACGCUGAGGCACGAAAGCGUGGGGAGCGAACAGGAUUAGAUACCCUGGUAGUCC